AGGGCAAGUCUGGUGCCAGCAGCCGCGGUAAUUCCAGCUCCAAUAGCGUAUAUUAAAGUUGUUGCAGUUAAAAAGCUCGUAGUUGAAUUUCGGGAUCAAUCUAUCGGUCGUGCAAUAGUACGUACUGAUUUUAUUGAUUCCUCCCUUCUGAUGAACUAUGAUGUCAUUAAUUUGGUGUCAUAGGGAAUCAGGACUGUUACUUUGAAAAAAUUAGAGUGUUUAAAGCAGGCUCACGCUUGAAUACAUUAGCAUGGAAUAACGAAAUAGGACGUUUGAUUCUAUUUUGUUGGUUUCUAGGAUCGACGUAAUGAUUAAUAGGGAUAGUUGGGGGCAUUAGUAUUCAAUUGUCAGAGGUGAAAUUCUUGGAUUUAUUGAAGACUAACUACUGCGAAAGCAUUUGCCAAGGAUGUUUUCAUUAAUCAAGAACGAAAGUUAGGGGAUCGAAGACGAUCAGAUACCGUCUUAGUCUUAACCAUAAACUAUGCCGACUAGGGAUCGGAUGAUGUUAAUUUUUUAAUGACUCAUUCGGCGCCUUACGGGAA
Molecule: ribosomal RNA, 542 nt
Filed under: uncultured Glomeromycotina
Lineage: Eukaryota; Fungi; Glomeromycota
Description: SSU rRNA
Rfam family: Eukaryotic small subunit ribosomal RNA
Source: RNAcentral